GGGGGUCCUGGAUGGAGCUUUUCUGGCAUUCAGGUGCUCCUCACAUGUUCCACUGUUCAGGGAUAGGACAACCUUAUACUGCUUUUAUAAAUGUAGCUGGUUUUGGAAAGCAGUAAGAGGGAAACCAGUUUUCCAUAUAUUCCUAAGAAGAUGGUGAGUAAACAAUCAUGUUUUCCUGAGUAACUUUAGUUUUAUGAGCUUCUUUCUCUCUACUGCAGGUCCCCACCCCACUCCCCACUCUAAAAUCAUGCUUGUAAUCCCAUUGUUUAUAUAAGGGUGGCUUUUUGUUUCUCAUCACAACCAUCUGUGUGCUUUCAAUACUUCUAUGCAAGUAACCCAUAAAGGAAAUCAGUAAAAUUCAUACUGAAUCCACAUGAAGUGGAUGCAGUCAUUUGGGACAGUGCAGACCACUGCAGUGGACAGGAGUAGCCUCUGUCGGCAGAUAUGAUUUCAGGUGACAUUAGCCUGCAAUUAUUUAGCCAUGUGCUUUAUAACAUUAAUUCCACUUAUGUUGCUGUCAUCAUGGGACUUAAGUAUUUAGGAAAUAAAAAGAAAUAACAUUUAAAGAGAGCCCUACCAUUAUUCAUUUUAAUGUAAAAUGGCUACUUCUCAUGAUCAUCUAAUUGAUAACGAAGACCUCAACUUCCUUAUAUUACCUCAGAAAAAAGUCUGACAUGUUAACCAACCACUGGACUGACCACUGGAAGGAAAAAAGACUGAAGGUGUUUUAUUUUGCUCAAGGGCAGUCAUCCAACAUCUGCUUUUGUGACAAGUUAACGUAAUUGUAUUGUAGAGGUGUAAGGAUAAAAAUGACCUAAAAAAUCAUCUUCUCCAACCCUCUUUUUAUAGAUGAGGAAACUUAGGUCUCAAGCUGUGAAGCACUUUGCCCAAGAUUACUCUGGUCAUUACAUUUAUAUGAAUUUAUAUGAAGCUAGAAAGUAGAACCUCUGCCUCCCAUUUGGUGCUCUUAUCACAUCAUCAGGCCACUUGCUUGCUUAGUCAGCAUUUCUUUGCUUAACUAAAUGUAAGGAGGCUCCCCAUAGGGCUUGCCUGCUGAGGAUGGGGUGCAGAGGGAGAGUAAAAGAGAGAGCUCUCUCCUAGUUUUCAAGUCGACUAGUUUUCAUUGGUUUGAUUUUAUUGAAAAAGAUAAAAAAUUAGAGCCAGGUUCCUAUUCCUGUUCCCUCCCCAAGCCACUGAAGAAACAAAUUUGCUAACAUUCCCCAAAUUAUUGUCUUUUACUCUCUCUUUUUACAGUAAGAGCAUUACUGGCAAAAAGUUUCCCAGAAUCAUGUUCCUCUUAGAUAUUCCUCCUUGAUGUGGAUAUGAAGGCUUGCGUGGGAAGCUCCAGAUGCGGGCCCAGCCCAGCCUGCUCUGCCUCUGCUGCUCGUGCUCGCUGCUUGUCUCCGUGUCUCCAUUUGAAGGGCUGCAGGGCGAGUCGUGACCCAGGUCCACUUUCUUACUGUUAAAUCCUGCCUUGGUUGUCAUGUUUUUAUAGAAGAGGAAAAGCAUUUUCUCCCUGAGUUCCGGAGCAGUCUUGAGGUCAGGGGUAAGAUUUUUCUUGGUAAGUAUUAAGAAGUAGUUGCUGAAUGAUAAAGGGGUGGAAAGGGGAAGGGUGCCUUAGGAAAAAAGGUGUUCUCGGUGAUGGGAUUGCUUCCGGUUUGUUUUCCAAUCUCUUCAGGAAUGAUUUUCUGCCCUCUUCCUGCACCCUGUGUUCUGAUUCCUGGAGCAUGCAGUACUCCUUCACUUCCUUUCUCCCAGGGGCUGUUAGAAGAAUAACCUUGAAAGAGAAAACAUGUGGGCUGUGGUAGACUUUGGAUUCUGUCCUCCAGAUACUUGACUCUUUCACUCAUGAGAAACUCCUACCUUAGGCUGACUUGGAUCUGGGUUAGCAGUGCCCAGUCCAUUUGCACAUCCUCUGGGCCAUGUGGGCUGUUCUGGGGUCUUGACCUUUUCUUCUUGAGGUGAUCCCCACUUCUGUUGCCAUAGACUAUGUAUUUAAGAAGCUUGCCUUUCAAUUUCCUGCCAAUGGCUGGAUCUUGGAAAUGACUCUGCACAGUGCUGAAGGGCCUGCUAGGGGAGUCUCUAAGGAUCACUUCUCCCCUGAAUGGUGGCCUGCUGUCCACAGGAAGCUUUCUCUGUUUUUCUCCCUGCUCUGGAUUAUCCAAAGACUCUAAAGAUAAAACCAGAGCUGGUUUGCCCUCCCCUCUGGAGGGAGACCCCCUUAUUUUUACAGUUGCCCUCCCAUUCUUAUCUUUAGAGUCUGCCUUUAAGGUUGCUCUGGAAGCUGUGGGUGGGUAGAGUCUGUCCUUGUCCAGGCUAAGUCUGAAGAGCAUCUAGUUCUUCUCCCCCUCUCUCCUGUUCUGGAUUAUUGCCUUCACUGCUGCCUCACUCUCAUCCACCAAGUUGGUCAUGUAGUUACACAACAUAUUCUUGGAGGUUAGCUGUUUGACCAAGUCCUUGUUGCCUAGCAACCAAGCAUGCACCAGCUCUGACUUUCAGAGCUUCAAGUGGCAUCAUUUAUAAAAGGCUUUCUGCUCCAUUAGCCAGGCAUUAGCUUCAUAUUUCUUCAUGGAGUCCAGAAAACUGAGUUUCUUUUUCAGCAAAUUCUCUUCUUUCCAGUUGAAGGACAGAAAUGAGUAGGACUUCUCUGUUUCCAUAAGCUUUAUGUUCUCUCCUGAUAUGGAAUAGCACCUAUGUCCCUGAUUUUUGGUGCUAACAAGCUCUGAUGGUCACUCUGUUGGUGGCUUUUCCAGGAGAUGCCCAGUUUGGUCUGGGGCUCUGACAUUUCUCUGCCCACUUGGAGACCUGGCAGCCAGUGUUCUGUCAGCAGACCUGUGAAGGAGCUUAGUGACGUGUGGGCACUAUGACCAGAGGGUUCUAUUCCAGGCUCCAGUGUUUGUUGUUAAGGACUGUGGAUAAUCAAGGGCAAGUUCUUCUUCCAAGGACAGAGGUCCUGGGAGGCUUCUUCACUGACCUGUUGAGCGCAGGCCCAACUUCUACCUGAGAACUGUCCCCAUUCCAAGGGGAAGGAGACUUAAACGCCAUCUACCGUCUCUGAGUGAUAGGACCUGAAUUGGCAAUAUCUCCCUGGCAGGUGGUAAUGGGGAAGUAUUUAAUAAGAUUAACAACAGAGAUAUGAAAUUUAGAAGUAUAAUCUAAUAGGAGAACUUUUAUGUAGGUGGUUGAAAAAAGAACUUUUUAUAGUUUUAUUGUAUGAAUAUCUCAAGGAUAGAGUUGGUCAAUUGGUUAAAGUUGGGCCCUUUCUUUAAUUGUGUUAUAUAAGAAUUUUAUUCAAAGAUGAGGCCUCCCAAAAGUUAAAAAGGGGGGCGGUGGGGAGGUGGGAGGUAGAGGAGGAGGAAGAAGAGAAGGUAAUAAAUGAGGAUACAUUUGCUGAGGGUGCAUCAGCUGUUGACAGACUGUCCCUGGAUCCUGAGCUCAAGAAAUGUAGCCCUAAUUGUAGACCUUCUCUAGAUUCAGAGAGGGUGACAACAGGGUGGCUCACAGAGCCUGCUAGAAGGUGCUUCUGCCAGCCUGCAGAUGUCCCAGAUUCCUAAUCCUGGCUCCCUUAUUCCUCAAGCUGUAGCUCCAUUUACCUAAGCACCUUCAAAUAAACUGCUGCGUUUGUUCUACCAGGAAUUUAGUGUGUUAGUGACCCAGCCACUUUGCAACUCAGAAUGUUACUUGUUAUGGUUUCUUUUUUUUAGCAACUGACCUUUUAACAACUAUUAUCUUCCUCUCCUUAGGGGUCCGUUGAUUGUUGCCCAUGUAGUAUGUAAAUCAUCUGUCCUCUUCCUCUUCCUCCUAUCCCUUUUACUCCUGUUUCCCAGUCUAUCCUCAACUCUCCUCAAGAGCAGCAGACCCCAACCUCUUUUAUGUAAACGUUGUAUUCCUGAAACAGUGCUGAGCCUUCCUUCAGCAUACCAAACCGUCUCUAAACCUUAGACUUCCUCUGUGUUUGUUCCCCUUAAGAGUUACUGCUUUGCCAAACCCUGCUGUGUAAAAUCACAAAGCUUUGAUAGCUCCCACACCUUUCUGGAGCUUAUCCUUUACUUACAUUUAGGGUAAAAGUGGUAUUUUUAUUAGUAAAAUUAAAUUCUAUAAAAGUGAUUUCUAAAUUAGAAAAUAUUAUAUAAAUCUAAAUGAGUUUUCAUGAAUUCAGGUUGCCUCCCAAAUAUCCAGGCCAUGUUUCUCCAACUGAAUGGCUAUCAUUCAGUUUGGAGGGCAGACCCAGCCACAGGGGUAGAUAGGUCCAUCUAAGCCAAUCAGAAUAAUGCCACCUGUCUUACCACAGUUGACUGGCUUGGAUUGGGUCCAACCAAAGCCACUAUGACAGAAUGUUUACUAUAGCUUGAGGAAAAGAGCAUGCUUCUCUUAUGUGGGUUUUAAGAAGCAACAAGCUGCCUAAACAAGGAAGCAUGUUGUUCCAGUUGCUAUUAACGCCAGGUGCUGUCAUGCCUUUCUACCAACACGCACACCCAGCCUUGAGAUGAUGCUGACCCAUGGAUGGUUGUGUGAUGGGACAAAACCCAGAUUUUAAAUCACAUGGCUGAGCCAUUUCAUUAAAUCAUCCUGGAAGUCUUCAGCUAACGGUAUUUUAACUGACAUAAGAAAAUUUUACUUCUUAGCAAAGUAUCAGAACUCCUUUGUAGGGGUAAGUGACUGUGGGAGAAUGAUGUUGACCCAUUGCAGACUGUAGAGGAAGGUCCCUCUUCCUCUACCAUCACAAUGGUUUGCAUGGUUUGGUUGUGUUAUUGCAACUGGUGAAUGAGCUGAAUUAACCCAGUUCUCGUUUAUUGACUGUCUUUCCCUUCUCCAUCAGGGUUGUUUCCCCUAGUUUGAUCCCCUACAGAUUAGAAGUGCUAGUUUGUUUUAUAGUCAACAGAGCCCAUCCAGGGAUAAUCUUCAAAUAUUUAACAAUGUGGCACCAACCAAUUGGAACAGAUGCCAGCUGUAAACAACCAUUGAAGCUGAGAACACUUCUGUACCUGAAAUGCUACUGCCUUUAAUUAUACAUGUUUUAUAAAAGUAUAUAACUUUUAAUUUAAAAAGUAUUAUCAAGUAUUAUAAGGCUUUUAAACUAUACAUUGUGAUAGGUAUAAUAUCACUUGUAGGUACACUGUAAUAAAGAGGUAUAUAAUAAACCCUAAGGCAACCACUAAAUUAAUAAAACAAAAUUGUAAUUAGUAAGCCAACAAAGGAGAUAAAAUAGAGUAUAAAACACUUGUUAUGGGUUGAAUUGUGUCCCCCCAAAAAGUAUGUUGAAGUCCUAACCCCUGAUACCUGUGAAUAUGACCUUAUUAGGAAAUAAGAUCUUUGCAGAUGUAAUCAACUGAAGGUGAGAUCAUUAGGAUGAGACCUAAUUCAAUAUGACUGGUGUCCUUAUUAGAGGAUGAGAACAGCACACACAGGGAGAAGAUGGCCAUGUGAUGAUGGAGGCAGAGAUUGAAGAAAUGAAUCUAAAAGCUAAAGAACCCAAGGAUUGCUGAAAAAUAUCAGAAGGUAGAAGAGGCAAGAAGGAUUCUCUCCUACAGGUUUCAGAGAGAACAUGACCCUGCUGGCACCUUGAUUUCAGAUGACUAGGCUCCAAAACUGUGAGACAAAAAUUUCUAUUAUUUUAAGAAACCUGGCUUGUACUACUUUUUUACAUAGCUCUAGGAAAUGAAUACAAUACUCAACCCAAAAGAAGGC
RNAcentral lists this long non-coding RNA (5688 nucleotides) under Phocoena sinus (vaquita). Its description in RNAcentral is "lncRNA (ENSPSNG00000008131.1)". The record is from RNAcentral. Lineage: Eukaryota; Metazoa; Chordata; Mammalia; Artiodactyla; Phocoenidae.